GAUGAACGCUGGCGGCGUGCCUAAUACAUGCAAGUCGAGCGAACGGACGAGAAGCUUGCUUUUCUGAUGUUAGCGGCGGACGGGUGAGUAACACGUGGAUAACCUACCUAUAAGACUGGGAUAACUUCGGGAAACCGGAGCUAAUACCGGAUAAUAUUUUGAACCGCAUGGUUCAAAAGUGAAAGACGGUCUUGCUGUCACUUAUAGAUGGAUCCGCGCUGCAUUGGCUAGUUGGUAAGGUAACGGCUUACCAAGGCAACGAUGCAUAGCCGACCUGAGAGGGGGAUCGGCCACACUGGAACUGAGACACGGUCCAGACUCCUACGGGAGGCAGCAGUAGGGAAUCUUCCGCAAUGGGCGAAAGCCUGACGGAGCAACGCCGCGUGAGUGAUGAAGGUCUUCGGAUCGUAAAACUCUGUUAUUAGGGAAGAACAUAUGUGUAAGUAACUGUGCACAUCUUGACGGUACCUAAUCAGAAAACCACGGCUAACUACGU
This 496-nucleotide ribosomal RNA is filed under the name uncultured bacterium. Its description in RNAcentral is "partial 16S ribosomal RNA". It matches the Rfam family "Bacterial small subunit ribosomal RNA", at positions 28 to 506 of the family's 1533-position model. The record is from RNAcentral.